AAACCAACUGGGAUUACCUUAGUAACGGCGAGUGAAGCGGUAAAAGCUCAAAUUUGAAAUCUGGUACUUUCAGUGCCCGAGUUGUAAUUUGUAGAAUUUGUCUUUGAUUAGGUCCUUGUCUAUGUUCCUUGGAACAGGACGUCAUAGAGGGUGAGAAUCCCGUUUGGCGAGGAUACCUUUUCUCUGUAAGACUUUUUCGAAGAGUCGAGUUGUUUGGGAAUGCAGCUCAAAGUGGGUGGUAAAUUCCAUCUAAAGCUAAAUAUUGGCGAGAGACCGAUAGCGAACAAGUACAGUGAUGGAAAGAUGAAAAGAACUUUGAAAAGAGAGUGAAAAAGUACGUGAAAUUGUUGAAAGGGAAGGGCAUUUGAUCAGACAUGGUGUUUUUUUAAUGUGCAAGUCUCUUGUGGACAUGUGCCUCUGGAAAUUAACACUGGGCCAACAUCAGUUCUGGCGGCAGGAUAAAUCAUUAAGAAUGUAGCUACCUCGGUAGUGUUAUAGCUUUUUGGAAUACUGCCAGCUGGGAUUGAGGACUGCGCUUCGGCAAGGAUGUUGGCAUAAUGGUUAAAUGCCGC
RNAcentral lists this ribosomal RNA (572 nucleotides) under Hanseniaspora thailandica (nom. inval.). RNAcentral describes it as "LSU rRNA". It matches the Rfam family "Eukaryotic large subunit ribosomal RNA", at positions 62 to 648 of the family's 3401-position model. Lineage: Eukaryota; Fungi; Ascomycota; Saccharomycetes; Saccharomycodales; Saccharomycodaceae. The record is from RNAcentral.